AUUCCAGAACGUGUCGUCCAUGCUAGGGGAGCCAGUGCUAAGGGUUUCUUUGAGUGUACCCAUGAUAUUUCUCACCUUACGUGUGCUGAUCUUUUUCGAGCUCCAGGGGUUCAGACACCUGUCAUUGUUCGCUUCUCCACUGUUAUCCAUGAGCGUGGCAGCCCUGAGACACUCAGGGAUCCUCGAGGAUUUGCAGUCAAGUUUUACACCAGAGAGGUGAGGGUCUAUCUCUAAUGCCUUUAUUUUUCUAUAUUUAUCACUAAAAUGUAUUAGAUGAUAGCAUGUAUCCACGUCAUGGCUGCCAGAAUCAUGAAAACAACAUUUAAUCAGUAGAUUUGAUGGAUGUUCUGUUGUGUUACAUAGUUCCCGUGGGAUUCUAGAAGUGCCAAAUAAGAAAUAGGGAAAAUGAGAAUUUUGUAACUCUUUAGAAUUCUUUGUAUAAUCACAUGCGGCUUUAAUUAUAUCUUUCUAAGAUUAUUUCCUGUACUUUUUAUCUUUCAUAUAUUUAUGAAGUUACAUAAUUGUAAGCUAACAAGCUCUUAUUUGUUCUAUUGCUUUACACAUUCUUAUUGUGAUUUUUUCUUGUGAACUCAGGGUAAUUGGGAUCUUCUGGGUAACAGUAUCCCUGUUUUUUUCAUCCGUGAUGCAAUCAAAUUCCCAGAUGUGAUCCAUGCUUUUAAACCUAAUCCAAAGUCUCACAUCCAAGAGUACUGGAGGAUCCUCGACUUCUGCUCCCACCUUCCUGAAAGCUUGUCCACAUUUUCCUGGUUCUUUGAUGAUGUGGGUAUUCCACAAGAUUACAGGCACAUGGAAGGCUUCGGUGUUCAAACUUUUACACUGGUCAAUAAGAAUGGGAAAGUGCACUAUGUGAAAUUCCACUGGAAACCAACUUGUGGAGUUAAGUGUUUGACAGAUGAAGAAGCAAUAAAGGUUGGUGGAUCUAAUCACAGCCACGCUACUCAGGAUCUCUACGACUCAAUUGCAGCUGGAAACUAUCCUGAGUGGAAACUCUACAUUCAGACUAUUGAUCCCGAUCACGAGGACCAAUUUGACUUUGACCCACUGGACGUAACCAAGUGGUGGCCUGAGGACAUCAUCCCUCUGCAGCCAGUUGGACGCUUGGUCUUGAACAAGAACAUCGAUAAUUUCUUUGCGGAAAAUGAAAUGCUUGCAUUUAACCCUGGUAUCGUGGUUCCUGGGAUCUACUACUCAAAUGAUAAGAUGCUCCAAUGUCGAAUCUUUGCCUAUGGUGAUACCCAGAGGCAUCGCCUUGGACCCAACUACUUGAUGCUUCCAGUUAAUGCCCCCAAAUGUCCUCAUCGCAACAAUCAUUAUGAUGGUUUCAUGAAUUUCAUGCACAGGGAUGAGGAGGUACUUAGUUUCUACUUUCCCCCCUGGAAACAAAAUUUAUGAAUCAAAAUAGGUUCGGCACCUAUAAUCUAUCCACAUUUAUCUUAACUUAGAUAAUGGUGCAUGCCUUAAAGAUACAAGUGCCUAGUACAAGUGGAUGGUAUCAGAAUCUAACCUGUUGUGUGCUAGUGUUAUCAAAAAAUGUUCUAAUUGGAUAUUAUGAUGCUUUGUUUUAGGUCGAUUACUUUCCUUCAAGGUAUGAUCCUACUCGUCAUGCUGAGAGAUAUCCCAUUCCUUCUGAUGUAAUUACAGGAAGGCGUGAGAAGGUAAAUUUCUAUACUUGAUAAUUCUUAAAUCUUGAAAUUCUAUUUUCACUUACAUUAGGAGAUGGGUUGGUUCAUAAACAUAAUUGGAAUAUAUUUAUGAAGGCUAAAUUUUCCAAAUCUAUUGGUAAACGUAGGCUUGCAUUGAGAAGGAAAACAACUUCAAGCAGCCUGGAGAGAGAUACCGAUCCUGGGCCCCAGACAGGUAAAUUCAUGUUUGCCCCUAUUUUUCAAUUAAAAUAUAUUUGUGAAAUCAAAACAUUAACCUCUUUGCUACAUUUUUAUUUGGCUUAGGCAAGAGAGGUACCUUAAUCGAUGGAUUAAGGCUUUAUGUGACCCACGUGUCACCCAUGAGGUUCGCAGCAUAUGGGUCUCUUACUGGUCUCAGGUGAGACUCCCUUUCAUUUCAACCUGUUGCAAAUUAUGGCUGCGACCUUGAAAGUUGGAAUUUUUGGUGAUAUUGUUCUCAAAAUUGAAAUAUAUAUGUAGCGUGUAUCAGCUAACUAAUCAUACAUGGUAUUCUUUGCUGGUAUGAAUAUAGGCCGACAGAUCUCUGGGUCAGAAGCUAGCUUCUCGUCUCAAUGUGAGGCCAAGCAUUUGAAGGUGUCACUUGAACUGGAAUACUGGAUGCUUUUGACUUGCCAAGAGUGAGCGAGGAGUGAACACCAAGGGUGCAGCUAUGUGAAGAAUUUCGAUCCUAUGUUUGCUGUUGUAUAUUGUAAUAUAGACAAUAAACUUGCAUGUUAUGUGACUCUUUUCCUGUUGUUUCAAUUAAUAAAAGUCUGUUUUAUGAAGUUCAAUAUCGGAUCUAGAGUUGUUGAAUCAAUGUUUGCUGCUCUGGUUGCCUCAGUCUCCUAAUUAGUGAUCCUCUUCCAGUAGAAAGUUUCGCAAUUGCAAGAGUUUAUUGUAUUGCCAUUGUUUUGCAUCAGAAAACGAAUAGAUAGAUUCUUACUCACUGGUUGAAUGCUUGAACUGUCUUGUUCUGGAGUCUCGAUUGCUUUCAACUUUGUUAUGCUGCAGAUUAGAAUUCUGGAGAUCCGUUAUAAGUUUACCCUGCAAAGUGAUUUCAUUCUACUGUUCGUGAAUUCACAACUCUUCCUGCUCAAAAUUUCAUUUUGCCAUCUAUAGACAAAUGGGGUUUAUCAAGAGUCGUGUCUAGACGACAACUAAACCCUAGAUAUCUACGGUGCGCUCUCACUCUUUUCUUGCGUAGGCAUUCAUAUUAUAUGUUUUUAACUUUUUCAUAUCUGUGCAUUUGUAGUAAUUGAUUUGGUGUGUUUUGUGUUUAAAGUAAUAUUUAGAAGCUGUCAAGCUAGUUACAUAUCAGAAUUUUUUAUUUUUUUAUUUUGGUGGAAAAACUAAUCAAGUGGCAGCUUAAUUGAGUUCAAUACUCAUGAAGAGAUUGACAAAUAUAUAUAUAUUUUUUAAUAUUUUUGAGAAGACCAAAUGAAUGUUUGCAGCUGAACUUUGAAUGACUACAAAAUUUUCCGGACAUGGAUAAUUGCACAAAGACCAAAUUUUGCUUGAUGUAGGUGACGGGGAAAAGGAAAUCAAUAUAGUAAGUGUUCCUAAUUGCUGCUAAACCACUGUAAACAAGAGUUGAGUUAGUGAGAUUUAAAAUAUUGUGCUGGAUUUAACACAUUUCUUGUUUGUAAAAUUGAUUUGUUUAGUUGGGCUAUGAUCUUUUCUACGUCCAUGUCAUUAUUUAACCGUAAAGCAGAGCAGAAUAAUAUAGCAGCGGGGAAAAAUGAGGGAAGACACAUUGCUCUUUUGAUUUUGAAGCAAUGUAAAAUUCCUCCCAUUUGGAGUUCUAGCAAGUUGCAUACCAUAGGACAUAGUGAUUUAUGCAUGUUUGAUUUGGCAUUUCCCAAGUGGCUAUCAGUCAAGAUUUCUUUCUUUCAUUCUGCAGGAGAGAAGCUCCUGACACCUACCAUGGUGCCUUGAGAAGUGAAGGCUUUUGGGAAUUAGUUUGGUUCUGUGUAGAUGAGUUUGCACUGAUACUCAGGAAGUUAUGUUGACCUUCUCUAUAGCAUCAGAAAGGCACAAUGCCAAUAUAUUUCAUUUAGCUUAGAGAUUUGCUAGGAGAGCACAGUUGUUCAUUUGGUCUGUGGUUUUGUUUCAGAUAUACAAACCAAUGCUGCCAGUUUUCCAAAUACAAUUCCUGUGGGUUCAGGUGUUAGCUUUAAAGAAAGUGGAGCAAGGCAAUAACGUGAUGGUUUGUAACUAUCGCUGUUCAUUGGACUUGGUUUUGAUGGACUUCUUGGAACUUGGAUGUGUUUUCUGGUUUAUUUGAAUGAUACUAAUCACAGCAUGAUGAUAAAGAAUCCUCGUUUCUGUGAAAAAAUUAUCAGAAUCAGGAACUUGCUCAAAUCUUCAACAAUCUUUAUAUUCACAAAGCAAUUGUAAAAUUGCUAUGAAUCAUGAAUGGAUAUCAGGGAGGCUUUGUGAAACAAUAACAUGAUCCCAGGCAACAUCGAUUUUUUACCUGUUGGAUUCAUCAUGCUUAGCCACUUGUUUGAAAUAUUUAGAAGCACUCACGAACUCAAUAAGUAUGCCUGGGAACACAAGAAAUGCUCUUGCUUCAGCCUUAUUUGCAGUUCUUCCCAAAUGACAACCCAUUAUCAAACCAUGGACCGAUGCUGGAGGUAAGCUUUCAAUUUAUCCAAAAGUUCCAACAUUUAUGUUAGAUGUUGUGAGUGAAUCAUGUUUGCUUCUGAAUAUCAUAAACUGCGUGAUUGUAAAUAAUUGAAAAUUUUCUUAUAAAACUCCACAUGCUAGAUGAAUGUGCAGCCUAAUCCUACAAAGGCAUCGAUUGACCAUAACAUAUGCCGCAGUUCCCUUCUUACUUCCAUAGAGUCACUUUUCCUGAGGGUAUCCCUUGACCAUUAGGUUCGGAACACCAUUUUACAAGUUUGUAUUUUAUUUGUACUAUGGACCUCAGCUAAACUAGGGUGCAAAACUCGAGAGUAGAGUAUAUAAACUCUAAUAUAAACAUUCUUUUAGGAAGGAAAAUGAAAGGUUGUAGGUAAGGCUUUAGGCCACUAAAUUGUUUGCUUAGCAGUUUCAGCAUAAUACACACACACACAGGUACAUAUAUACACUUUUUUAAUGAUGUGUUGGCAUAUGUAUAUACAGAGUUCUUCUCUUACGAAGAUCUCCUCACAUUAUUAAAUUGAGGAUGUCACAAAUAUACAAAAAAAAUACCGAUUUUACUAUCAGAAUGAUAAAUAUACACACAAAAGAUUCCUUUAUUCUCUUUUGUAUAAUAAACAUUACAUUAUUAUACUAUAUGAUUUAAUCAUUUUUUUGUCUUUUAAUAUAGUUAGGAAAUGUUUAUCAAAUAAGUAAUAUAUAUAUAUAGAUAUAUAUGUGGAGAAAUAACAAGAUUUAGCAACCUCUACAUAGCAUAGUAAAUUUUAUUGAGAAAGAAAUGAAAAGAUCAUUGAUGGGUAGAAGAGAGAGAGAGAGAGAGAGAGGGCGGCGAAGCUGAACUUGAUAAUUGAUUUUUGAUACCCAUUUAAUUUAAGUUUUAAUGAAAACGAAACGCACUCAAUUAGGAAGAUACUAAUAUUCUAAUAGAAGAAUUCGCAAUUUGAAAUUAUUAUUAAUAGAUUAUUUAAAAAUUUAAAAAUAUUAUAAUUACAUAAAGUGGAUUGUAUAGAUGGUUCAACCAAUAAAACAUUAAAACUAUCAGUAAUGCUUGAUGAGACUUUACGGGAAUGUUAUCCACUUUCGCAUCAGAGUUUGAGAGAGGUUUUUGUUAAGCAGAAUAAUUUAUUGAUACACUGAAAAUAGUUUAGACAAUUAAAAAUAAUAUAUAUAUAUAUAUAUAUAUAUAUAUAUGGAAUCAGAUUACGGUGCAACUGUAGUACUGUACUACAGUUACAUUCAGUCGUUGGAUGCACUUAGAUUGGUGGGAUUCAUUAAUAUCCAACGGCUGAAUAUAACUAUAAUAUAAUAACACAAUUACACCACAGAUUUUCCCAUAUAUAUGAAUGUAUAUGAUAAUUUAUCAAUGCUCAGAAAUGAGAAAUGUAUGCAUUUAGAUCCCCCCAAAAAAAACAAAGAAGGUAUGCAUUAAAAAGUGGGUCCAAAAGAAGUCAGUCUUGUGGCAAAGCUCACCUCACCACACGCCCAUUUUACUCUUUGUCAAAAGCGUAAAUUAUACCGUUCACAUUGUAAAUUAGCAGCUUUCAUUUCGCGCACACACUCGCACAGCUCUUCGAGUCUAUCUCUUGACACUUUUCUAAUGAUAUAGCACACGUCUCAAUGCUCUUCUGGAGACGUGGCGUCACCAAGCUGGUCCAUGUCAUCUUCAGCCCAUAAGUGGUUACGAAUUCUUUGUAGUAAACUUCCAAAACACUGGAUAAGGAACCUUGAAAUCCUGACGUUCGCAAAAUAUAUAUAUUUUUAUCUUUCGUCGCCUUAAAAAAGGAUAAUCAUCUCUGUUGUGGGUCCCACUCUUGCCUUGAAAGAAUCAAUAUCGGCGGAGAAUUAAAUUUAAUAUAACAUACCAUCUAAUCCACGAUAUUUUGUCCUAAAUUAUUCAGAAAUGUUUUUUUUAGAUUAUUUUAUAAUAUGAAAAAAAAAAUAGGCAUAACAUUUUAGUUUAUUUUGGCCUGCAAAUAUGUACUAUUCAAGGUCUUGCUCUUUUUCCUACAGCUCAGGUCUUCAGUUUGAAUUUCAAUAUAUGCAUGAUUUAGUAAUAAUAAAAAAUAUUUUUACAUGAAUGAUAAUAAAAUUAAAAAUUCUAGUAGAAAUUGAUAUGACCUAAAUUUAUUGGUUGGAUAAAAAUAUAAAAUAAUAAAAAUAAAUCAUAUUGGUUCAGAGUUAUUUAAUUUAACUAAUUGAAUUAUAUCAUAUUAGUCUGCACAAAAAAAAAUUAUAUAAGAAUUUGUAACUCUAUUAUUAUUAUUUUUUAUUUAACACAUUUGAAAAUAAAAAUAUUUGACAUAUUAUUUUUACUAAGACAUUUAUUAAUAUCGGCCAAUAAACUAAUAUAUAUAGAUUUUUUUAAAGCUUAUAAAUUAAAAAAACCUAUUAAUUAUUCUUUAGAUAUACUAAGAUUAUCCCAAAUACUUUAACUUGAAUGAAGUGAUAAUAUUGAAUGACUACUCUAGGUAUGUAAUAAAUAGCCUUAAAAUGCUAACAAAUAAAUAUCUUACACUUUUCUAAAAUAAAAAGAUAGGAUAAUGUUUGAAAAUUCUAGUAAUAUAGUAAUACUCGUUUUCUAUAAAUGUCUAUUAAACUAAGCUAAUUAGAGACUAGCAUAAUAAAAUUAAAUCUUUUUAUCCUUUUCAUAAGUAAAAAAAUUGAUUGUGCUGUUUCUAUACUAAAAUAAAAAUUAAGUAAUAUAACAUUCUUUUUUUCAGGUUGUUAAGGAUGAAUAAUAUUCUUUAAUUUUAAGUAAACAAGAAUAUAAAUGACUUUUAGUUGUUAUAUUAGAUUAGUUCCCCUAGUUUAUUAUAGUUAGCAUAGAAGGAGAGUGAAUGAAGAUUUUUUAACAUUGUUUUUAUUUUUUUUUUAAGUAGUAUUUAAAGAACCACCAAAAAUAAAAAAUAAAAGAAAGAAUAAUGAUCAAUUUAUACUAAUGGCGAGACGUGAUAUUGGCGAGAAAAUGAACACGUCGAAGCUUGUUUGUCUCAUUACGGAUUUUUCGUGUCGCUAUAGAUAGAAAAACGGGUGAGGCCUCUCUGACAUCUGAGGCUGGCAGAAAUUAGAAGCGCGAGCCACGAGAGUCUGUGUAUAUAAAUAAAUAAUAAGGCAGUAGUAUUGCAUUCGUGAUCACCGGCUUUUGGUUGCCACACAAUCCCCAUUUGUCUACUCUCUCUUUCUUUCUCGUAGUGUAGCUUCUCGUUCAAUCUUUUUUUCUGCUUCCCUCCCGCUAUGGAUCCAUACAAGGUACUAAUCCCAUCUGUCUAUUUGUUUUAACUCUUAAUUCAAUCGAUUGCUUUAUUGAGUUUCCAUCCCAAUAUCUAUAUUUGAUGGGUCAGGCUAUUUUAACUUGAAUUUUUGAAUGAUUGGAAUCUGUUUCGGUUUUCAUCAUCUGCUUUAUUAGAUAUUCAAUUUCUAAAUCAAAGCUAUGAUCUUCCCUUUUUUAUUUUUUUGGUUUGAAAAAUUUUACCGCGUAGUUAGGGUUUCCCCAAUGAUUUUGAGAAGAAGUUUUAAAUCUUUUCGCUUGUAUAUGUUUGGCUUCCAUUUAAAUAAAGAGACUUGUACUAAUAAUCCAAUAUUGUUUGUGUUUUUGUAUCAUGAUGAUACAGUUCCGCCCUGCCAGUUCUUUCAACGCCCCCUUCUUUACCACCAAUUCCGGCGCUCCGGUAUGGAACAACAACUCAUCAAUGACGAUUGGACCUAGAGGUAUCAACACGUUAUUGUUUAUUCACUGUUUUCUGUUUGGUAAUUGAUGUUGUUUAUUGUGCUAGGAGUUAGCAACUUGCCUUUUUCGGUUGUUGGAUUUGUGUUUGACUUAUUUGCCGUUCUCGAAUUAGAUUUAUGUAUAUUAUUCCUCAGCUGUUUUAUUAUUUUUGGUUAUUGCUUCUAUCGCAUAUCAAAGUCUCUGUUAAUUUGGUCAGCGGGGGCCAUUAUCAUCAUCUUUGUCAUUAUUCAUGUAGCCAGUGGAAGUAAAAUAAUCAGAAUAUGUGCUUUGAUGGAAUUAAUAAGUUAGAUCUAUUUUCAAAAGUAUUAAUCUUGAGGUAUAUUUUUUAGUGUCAAUCUACAAAACCAGAAUAUUUUUCCUUUCUCCAUCUGGCUUGGCAGAAAAUUUUAAUUCAUAAUAAGAUUCCUUAUUGGCUAGUCCUUUUUAUUUUUUUGCUUCACUUUGAUGGAUAUGGUUUAAACUUUUUAGUUCAGGGAUUUAAGUUGCUUCAAUUUGACAGGUCCAAUCCUCCUUGAGGAUUAUCAUCUAGUGGAGAAACUUGCAAAUUUUGAUAGGGAGCGGAUUCCAGAACGUGUUGUCCAUGCCAGGGGAGCCAGUGCUAAGGGUUUCUUUGAGGUCACCCAUGAUAUUUCUAACCUUACUUGUGCUGAUUUCCUUCGAGCCCCAGGGGUUCAGACGCCUGUCAUUGUCCGCUUCUCCACUGUUAUCCAUGAGCGUGGCAGCCCUGAAACCCUGAGAGAUCCUCGAGGAUUUGCGGUCAAGUUUUACACCAGAGAGGUGAGGGGCUUAUGUGAUACUUGUUUUAUUACUAAUGUGUAUUAGAUGGUAUGGUAUAUGUGGGGGUUCAUGGAGAUGAUCGUUUAGUUACAAAUGAUGCAUGUAUUUAGGGCAUAGGUACUUGUCGCUUUAAGUUGCUUUUGCAGAAAGAACAGGAGAUUUUUUUCUAUUUUGAUUAUGAUGCUUCAAAAAUUUUAUAAUUGUAAUGGUGAAAUAGGGAAAAUAAGAGUUCUUCAAUUGCUUCGGCAGAUUUUCCCAUGUGAUGUGGUUGCCAUAACAACUUUUCAUGUGUCUCCAAUCGUAUGUAAAUAUGUAAUCACUUAGUCAUGAAGGCUGCAUAGGUUCAGCAUUUCAUGUGUUUUAAGUCAUCUGAUAUUUUAUGACUCCAUUAAGGUGGACAAGUUGUAGGCUGUCAAGAAGUUAGCUCCCCUACUUGUUGAUAGGUUCUUACGCUGACCUUUUUGUCAUGUGAGUGCAGGGUAAUUUUGAUCUUGUGGGAAACAAUUUCCCUGUCUUUUUUGUCCGUGAUGGAAUGAAAUUCCCUGACAUGGUCCAUGCGCUUAAACCUAACCCAAAGUCUCACGUCCAAGAGAGCUGGAGGAUUGUUGACUUCUUCUCCCAUCAUCCUGAAAGCUUGCACAUGUUCUCCUUCUUGUUUGAUGAUGUGGGUGUCCCACAAGAUUACAGGCACAUGGAAGGAUCUGGUGUUAACACUUACAUGCUGAUCAAUAAGGCUGGGAAAGCACAUUAUGUGAAAUUUCAUUGGAAACCCACUUGUGGGGUUAAGUGUUUAUUGGAAGAUGAGGCAAUCAAGGUUGGAGGAGCCAACCACAGCCAUGCUACUCAAGAUCUUUAUGACUCAAUUGCAGCUGGAAACUAUCCUGAGUGGAAACUCUACAUCCAGAUUAUGGAUCCCGACCAU
RNAcentral lists this long non-coding RNA (9751 nucleotides) under Citrus maxima (pomelo). RNAcentral describes it as "long non-coding RNA (CMAX_LNC001640)". Lineage: Eukaryota; Viridiplantae; Streptophyta; Magnoliopsida; Sapindales; Rutaceae. The record is from RNAcentral.